CCUACGGGGGGCAGCAGUGGGGAAUAUUGCACAAUGGGCGCAAGCCUGAUGCAGCCAUGCCGCGUGUGUGAAGAAGGCCUUCGGGUUGUAAAGCACUUUCAGCGGGGAGGAAGGCGUUAAGGUUAAUAACCUUGGCGAUUGACGUUACCCGCAGAAGAAGCACCGGCUAACUCCGUGCCAGCAGCCGCGGUAAUACGGAGGGUGCAAGCGUUAAUCGGAAUUACUGGGCGUAAAGCGCACGCAGGCGGUCUGUCAAGUCGGAUGUGAAAUCCCCGGGCCCAACCUGGGAACUGCAUUCGAAACUGGCAGUCUAGAGUCUUGUAGAGGGGGGUAGAAUUCCAGGUGUAGCGGUGACCUGCGUAGAGAGCUGGAGGAAUACCGGUGGCGAAGGCGGCCCCCUGGACAAAGACUGACGCUCAGGUGCGAUAGCGUGGGGAGCAAACAGGAUUAGAUACCCGGGUAGUC
Molecule: ribosomal RNA, 465 nt
Filed under: uncultured Klebsiella sp.
Lineage: Bacteria; Pseudomonadati; Pseudomonadota; Gammaproteobacteria; Enterobacterales; Enterobacteriaceae
Description: bacterial SSU rRNA
Rfam family: Bacterial small subunit ribosomal RNA
Source: RNAcentral